UUUUUCACUGAAAGAUAUAUUUUAUAUUCAAGAUUGUAACCAAAUAUACAAAAAGUUAGGAUCAAGGACAAUCAUUCUAGAUCAACCACGUUGAAUAUUACACUAAGCAAUACUUCUUUCUUUCUCAAAAAGAUGUUUCAGCCAAAAAGGAAAUCCGCUUGCUACAUACGAUUGGCGGCGAUCCUCCAUUGUCACGCUCUUGGCAAUAAGAUGAGCUCCAAGAUUAGAGCUUCUUACUUCACCACACAAUUUCCAAUCCAAGAUCAUUUUAGUCCAAAACC
Molecule: small RNA, 281 nt
Filed under: Arabidopsis thaliana (thale cress)
Lineage: Eukaryota; Viridiplantae; Streptophyta; Magnoliopsida; Brassicales; Brassicaceae
Description: ATSL246830
Source: RNAcentral